GUCCACGCCCUAAACGAUGAGUGCUAGUUGUCGGCAAGUUUACUUGUCGGUGACGCAGCUAACGCAUUAAGCACUCCGCCUGGGGAGUACGGCCGCAAGGUUAAAACUCAAAGAAAUUGACGGGGGCCCGCACAAGCGGUGGAGCAUGUGGUUUAAUUCGAAGCAACGCGCAGAACCUUACCCACGUUUGACAUCCGGUGCUACCUGGAGAGAUCCAGGGUCCUUCGGGCGCCGAGACAGGUGCUGCAUGGCUGUCGU
RNAcentral lists this ribosomal RNA (258 nucleotides) under uncultured bacterium. Its description in RNAcentral is "partial 16S ribosomal RNA". It matches the Rfam family "Bacterial small subunit ribosomal RNA", at positions 793 to 1055 of the family's 1533-position model. The record is from RNAcentral.